This 74-nucleotide transfer RNA is filed under the name Cytophagales bacterium. Its description in RNAcentral is "tRNA-Val". It matches the Rfam family "tRNA". From Rfam's summary of the family: Transfer RNA (tRNA) molecules are approximately 80 nucleotides in length. Their secondary structure includes four short double-helical elements and three loops (D, anti-codon, and T loops). Lineage: Bacteria; Pseudomonadati; Bacteroidota; Cytophagia; Cytophagales. The record is from RNAcentral.
AGGUGAUUAGCUCAGUUGGUUAGAGCGCUUCGUUCACAUCGAAGAGGUCACUGGUUCGAGUCCAGCAUUACCUA